GCUUACGGCCACACCGGCCUUGAGUACGCCUGAUCUCGUCCGAUCUCGGAAGCUAAGCAGGGUCGGGCCUGGUUAGUACUUGGAUGGGAGACCGCCUGGGAAUACCAGGUGCUGUAAGCU
This 120-nucleotide ribosomal RNA is filed under the name Oncorhynchus mykiss (rainbow trout). The record is from RNAcentral. Lineage: Eukaryota; Metazoa; Chordata; Actinopteri; Salmoniformes; Salmonidae.